Molecule: ribosomal RNA, 490 nt
Filed under: uncultured bacterium
Lineage: Bacteria
Description: partial 16S ribosomal RNA
Rfam family: Bacterial small subunit ribosomal RNA
Source: RNAcentral
GAUGAACGCUAGCUACAGGCUUAACACAUGCAAGUCGAGGGGCAGCAUGGUCUUAGCUUGCUAAGGCCGAUGGCGACCGGCGCACGGGUGAGUAACACGUAUCCAACCUGCCGUCUACUCUUGGACAGCCUUCUGAAAGGAAGAUUAAUACAAGAUGGCAUCAUGAGUCCGCAUGUUCACAUGAUUAAAGGUAUUCCGGUAGACGAUGGGGAUGCGUUCCAUUAGAUAGUAGGCGGGGUAACGGCCCACCUAGUCUUCGAUGGAUAGGGGUUCUGAGAGGAAGGUCCCCCACAUUGGAACUGAGACACGGUCCAAACUCCUACGGGAGGCAGCAGUGAGGAAUAUUGGUCAAUGGGCGCAGGCCUGAACCAGCCAAGUAGCGUGAAGGAUGACUGCCCUAUGGGUUGUAAACUUCUUUUAUAAAGGAAUAAAGUCGGGUAUGGAUACUCGUUUGCAUGUACUUUAUGAAUAAGGAUCGGCUAACUCCGUG